This 465-nucleotide ribosomal RNA is filed under the name uncultured bacterium. RNAcentral's name for it is "partial 16S ribosomal RNA". It matches the Rfam family "Bacterial small subunit ribosomal RNA", at positions 28 to 507 of the family's 1533-position model. The record is from RNAcentral.
GACGAACGCUGGCGGCGUGCUUAACACAUGCAAGUCGAGCGGUAAGGCCCCUUCGGGGGUACACGAGCGGCGAACGGGUGAGUAACACUUGAGCAAUCUGCCCAUCACAUCGGGAUAACUCCGGGAAACCGAAGCUAAUACCGAAUACGACCACCUCCGGCAUCGGAUGGUGGUGGAAAGUUCCGGCGGUGAUGGAUGAGCUCGCGGCCUAUCAGCUUGUUGGUGGGGUAACGGCCCACCAAGGCUUCGACGGGUAGCCGGCCUGAGAGGGUGACCGGCCACACUGGGACUGAGACACGGCCCAGACUCCUACGGGAGGCAGCAGUGGGGAAUAUUGGACAAUGGGCGAAAGCCUGAUCCAGCAACGCCGCGUGAGGGAUGACGGCCUUCGGGUUGUAAACCUCUUUCAGCAGGGACGAAGCGCAAGUGACGGUACCUGCAGAAGAAGCACCGGCCAACUACGUG